Molecule: long non-coding RNA, 2330 nt
Filed under: Capsicum annuum
Lineage: Eukaryota; Viridiplantae; Streptophyta; Magnoliopsida; Solanales; Solanaceae
Description: long non-coding RNA (CANN_LNC014842)
Source: RNAcentral
ACACAUAAACGCCAAAUAUAGAGAGAUCUGAAGCAUCACAGGAUUCUUUUUUUUUCCUUUAUCUUUUCUUCCCUUCUUAGCGCACACACGACAUACACAAAUCCUUACUCUCUCAACACAUAUAUAGACAUACAUACACACAGAUAUUGGAGAUGAGGGAGCUGGACAGAAAGAAAACUAGACACAGAGAGGCAUUUAAGCAUGAGAGAGGCAAUCAGAGAGAUUGAGAGGUUUGAGAGAGAGAGAGAGAGAGCUCGAUAAUUGAGAGAGAACGGCGAGGAGAGUUCCUUUUCGGCGACCAGAUCUCGUCGAAGCUCCUAAAAAUAGCCAAAAUCGGCGAUCGACCCUAUUGAAACAACAAAAAUUGAUGACCGAACCUGACCCAUUUCUACCCAAUUCCAACGAGAUCCACCAAAAAAUGAGAGAAAAGGUAAAAUGGUUCUAUUUAUUUGUGGUGUUCUAUUCUGAUUGGUUAGUUCGAUAUUUCGAUCGAGUUGGCGUGUUCAUGUUGAGUUCUUUGAGACGAGGUCCUGAGUUCGUUAGCUCUAUUGAAUAAUUUGGGGAUUGAAAUAAAAAUUGAGGUUUGAUUCUUCAACUCUAUCUCUUUUAUUUUUACCUCAAUAUGAUAUGUUGAUGUUGUGAUUUGUAUGAUUUAUUUUGGGUUGAUGAUAUGAUCUUGAUUGUGUGGUUGAGUAAUUCUAAUUUUUUUGAUUGAUUCUAUGUUUGGUUAAUUAACCAGGAAUGAUUUGAACUCAUUUGGAGUAAAUUUUAAUUUGGGGAGACGUAGACGUUGAUAUAUAUGGAUGUGAAUUAAAUUUGAUUCCUUGUUAGUGGUUUGAUUUGAAAUAAACAUUGAUAUUACUAAACAUGAUAGUAUCAUGAUAGGUCGAGUUGGGUAGGCAAAUGGUAGGCUCGGGUAGGCAACUUCAGGACUCGUGAAAUAUUAAAUGCUUGAACUAUGUGUUGAAUGGCUUGGUUUCAUUGCUUUUGAAUUCAAUAUAUCAUUUGGCUGGGAAAUGCCCCGAGGUUUCAUGUAAUUAUUCACCGGAAAAUGCCCUGACGUAUUAUGUCUUCUAAGGAGGUUCGUGAUCAAGGCCCGAGGCAUUGGGUAAAGCAUUAGAGUGUAUUUUAGGAGUAGUUUAGAAUAAUGUAGGUUUAUAUUUUUCUGCAUUUUAUUUUUCUUUUGGACUGUAUAAUUGGACUGGACAUUAUAUUUUGGAUUGUUUUGUCUUGUUUAUGUGAUUGAUUAUUUUUAUGUGUUUUGUGUGGUUUAUACAUUCGUCAUAAAAAAUUAGCCGAUAUAUAAUCCGCGACCGCGGUCAAACCACGGGACCAAGGGGUCACUAACACCUUUCCCUUGGGCAAUAGAAUUCCUUAGCUAGAAUCUCUAUUCGUAAAUCAGUUUUGAAAGAGUCAAAAACCAUUUCAAAAAUGAUUUUCAAAGGUGACUUGGCACACCAGAUUAUGUCAAGCGGCGAAUCUUAAUAAAAAAUAUAAAUAAUCCUUUUUCAAAAUAAAUUUUUAAUAUUUUGUCACUUUACUAAUAAAAACUCUUUCAAACCUUAAAAUAUAAUCUUUUCGGUUGAAAGAGGGGGUGCGACACUCACUUCUACUGCGCCCUUUUGGAGCAGAUCCUGGUUUGAGUAUGCCUCACGAUGAUUGAUUCGAACUACCUUUGGAGCUAUUCGAGGUAAUGUUUGGAUUCCUGCUUCCGGUGUUGACUACUAUCUUUCUUUAUUUAGACUAUGUCUUUAUUCAUAUUCAGAGACAGAGUAUUCCUAUUUUGGAUAUCUUAUAUAUUUGAUCACUAGUUGUACUAGUGAUGUUCUUACAUUGUGACACCAUAUUUUAGGAUUAUGGUAUUAUUAGUUAUGUUCGCAUAGAUUGCAUGUAGCAAAGAUGAAUGAUAUAUACAUAUCUAGCUAUUAUAAUUCCCAAAGCAUGAAAGUAUAAUUUUCUAAUAUAUAGAAAGAGUGGUUUCAACUUGUCAGCUAUUUGACAUUAAAUUAAAAAAUAAGGGUAUUAAGAUCUUUACAGAAAAUUGUAAGCUCAGAUUGAAAAUCAUUUGUGCUUCUUUUUGUGGACCUAUCAAAAGUUCUAAAACAACGUUCACUCUUUUCUCAUUAAUUACAGACAUAGCCAUGUAAGAAAUUUAAGAUAAAUGUCAUCACAUGUGGCUCUUUAGCCUUGCAUUCGUUUCCACAAGUGGGCCCUCUAUCUGUCAUCUAUUUUUUAUUUUUAUUUAUCUUUUUUUUUUUUCUGAAAAGAUAUAAUUAUUCUUUAAAUUGUACUUCUCAUUAUAUUUAGGAUGAAGUUGAGUACCUACGUGC